This 689-nucleotide ribosomal RNA is filed under the name Bacillus thuringiensis. RNAcentral's name for it is "bacterial SSU rRNA". It matches the Rfam family "Bacterial small subunit ribosomal RNA", at positions 47 to 717 of the family's 1533-position model. Lineage: Bacteria; Bacillati; Bacillota; Bacilli; Caryophanales; Bacillaceae. The record is from RNAcentral.
AGCUAUACAUGCAGUCGAGCGAAUGGAUUGAGAGCUUGCUCUCAAGAAGUUAGCGGCGGACGGGUGAGUAACACGUGGGUAACCUGCCCAUAAGACUGGGAUAACUCCGGGAAACCGGGGCUAAUACCGGAUAAUAUUUUGAACUGCAUGGUUCGAAAUUGAAAGGCGGCUUCGGCUGUCACUUAUGGAUGGACCCGCGUCGCAUUAGCUAGUUGGUGAGGUAACGGCUCACCAAGGCAACGAUGCGUAGCCGACCUGAGAGGGUGAUCGGCCACACUGGGACUGAGACACGGCCCAGACUCCUACGGGAGGCAGCAGUAGGGAAUCUUCCGCAAUGGACGAAAGUCUGACGGAGCAACGCCGCGUGAGUGAUGAAGGCUUUCGGGUCGUAAAACUCUGUUGUUAGGGAAGAACAAGUGCUAGUUGAAUAAGCUGGCACCUUGACGGUACCUAACCAGAAAGCCACGGCUAACUACGUGCCAGCAGCCGCGGUAAUACGUAGGUGGCAAGCGUUAUCCGGAAUUAUUGGGCGUAAAGCGCGCGCAGGUGGUUUCUUAAGUCUGAUGUGAAAGCCCACGGCUCAACCGUGGAGGGUCAUUGGAAACUGGGAGACUUGAGUGCAGAAGAGGAAAGUGGAAUUCCAUGUGUAGCGGUGAAAUGCGUAGAGAUAUGGAGGAACACCAGUGGCG